AUGGUCCAAACUCAAACCCUACGUGCGGAAGCAUGGAAGGCAAUAAAAGAAGAGAAGCGUCCGGUGGUGUACACACUUGAUGAGCCGGAGAAGGAUGACCGUAACAACUUGUCUCUCUCCCAAGGUAACCUCACCAAUGACAAGGCUCGGGUUGACCUGAUGCAAAAUCGUGGCAAGAGACUUGAGGCAGCACUAACCAAGCAGCUUGAUGAGAAGCUCUUGAAACAGGAACCCCUCAACAACCGUCUGAUUGUUGAUGCUAUAGGAGUGAUUACCUCGUCGUGGAAGGAGCACCAUGCGAAGCCAUGCCCCAAAGAUCUGGUGAAACUAAUGUCCGACGUAGGGGAUUUGGUGGGAUUGUUUGAGCGGCAACUCAGGAAGGCCAAAGAAGCAAGAACUGUCGCUGUAGCAUAUCCUCAAUUAGUGAAGCGCAACAAGGAGAUGAUUGUCAACCACCCUGUCACCAUUGACUCUUUGUCCCAGAAGGUGACCGAUUUGGAGAACAGGCGUGACAAUGCGAAGAUCAACAUUGAAGCCGCAAAAAUGCAAAAGGAGGCUGAAGCGUCCGCACCACCGUCCGUACGCCCAAAGAGCUUUGAAGAGACGAUCUUGCCAAUCCCUUCGAUGCUGGCUAACAACUUUCUUUAGUAUCUUGCCA
This 658-nucleotide long non-coding RNA is filed under the name Oryza sativa Indica Group (long-grained rice). RNAcentral's name for it is "lncRNA OsMH63_06G016340". The record is from RNAcentral. Lineage: Eukaryota; Viridiplantae; Streptophyta; Magnoliopsida; Poales; Poaceae.